RNAcentral lists this ribosomal RNA (484 nucleotides) under uncultured bacterium. Its description in RNAcentral is "partial 16S ribosomal RNA". It matches the Rfam family "Bacterial small subunit ribosomal RNA", at positions 29 to 507 of the family's 1533-position model. The record is from RNAcentral.
AUUGAACGCUGGCGGCAUGCUUUACACAUGCAAGUCGAACGGCAGCGCGGGCUUCGGCCUGGCGGCGAGUGGCGAACGGGUGAGUAAUGCAUCGGAACGUGCCCAGUAGUGGGGGAUAGCCCGGCGAAAGCCGGAUUAAUACCGCAUACAACCUGAGGGUGAAAGCGGGGGACCGAAAGGCCUCGCGCUAUUGGAGCGGCCGAUGUCGGAUUAGCGAGUUGGUGGGGUAAAGGCUUACCAAGGCGACGAUCCGUAGCUGGUCUGAGAGGACGACCAGCCACACUGGGACUGAGACACGGCCCAGACUCCUACGGGAGGCAGCAGUGGGGAAUUUUGGACAAUGGGGGCAACCCUGAUCCAGCCAUGCCGCGUGCGGGAAGAAGGCCUUCGGGUUGUAAACCGCUUUUGUUCGGGAAGAAAUCCUCUGGGCUAAUACCCCGGGGGGAUGACGGUACCGGAAGAAUAAGCACCGGCUAACUACGUG